GCAGCUCCCGCCACCUUAGCAUCCAGGUCACAGCAAAGUUCAAGGAACUUAUGGUAAAGAUCAAUCACACUUAUGGCACUGCCAACAGAAGCACAUGCUUGUGGAAAAUAGCGUAAAAGAAUUUUAAGGAGGAGAGCUGGGCUCUGAAUUACACCGGAGGCAGAGCGUCUGGACAGUUUUCAUCAGAAGCCACGUCCUAGAGGUAGCGAGCUGUAAACAGUCGUUAAAAGCAACGGAGGAAUGUGUUAGGGUGGGCCCAGGAAGGUGUCAGGCCACGGCGGGCACGUGAGGGAAUGGGCACAGCCUUCAUUGUAGGCACAGAAGCUGGAGCCAGCGGGAGGAGGCAAGCGGGCAACCGAACAGAAUGGAUGAGAAAAACCGAAGCUCAGGGAACAUUUCCAAGACCAAGAGCUGAGAACGCUGCGGAGCUGAAAUUUAAAUCCAGUUUGUCAGACCCCCCCAAUCCGGUUUGUCAGCCGCCCCCCAUCCCCAAAUGAGAAUGUGAGAGGGAACAGAGUGGGUGGGGGGAGUGGAGUGAAGCCAGGAGAGGUGAAGGAGAGGGAGAAAGAGUAAAGA
RNAcentral lists this long non-coding RNA (576 nucleotides) under Homo sapiens (human). Its description in RNAcentral is "non-protein coding lnc-TNP1-5:3". Lineage: Eukaryota; Metazoa; Chordata; Mammalia; Primates; Hominidae. The record is from RNAcentral.